RNAcentral lists this transfer RNA (69 nucleotides) under Phaneroptera sp. MAA-2007. RNAcentral describes it as "tRNA-Leu". The record is from RNAcentral. Lineage: Eukaryota; Metazoa; Arthropoda; Insecta; Orthoptera; Tettigoniidae.
ACUAUUUUGGCAGAUAAGUGCCUUGGAUUUAGAAUUCAAAUAUGUAAUAAAUGUUACAAAUAGUAUUGA